This is a non-coding RNA of Schizosaccharomyces pombe (fission yeast), 270 nucleotides long. NCBI's taxonomy places the organism in Eukaryota, Fungi, Ascomycota, Schizosaccharomycetes, Schizosaccharomycetales, Schizosaccharomycetaceae. The record is from the annotation of a GenBank genome assembly.
AUUCGUGUUUGUACUUUUUAUUAUUACGCCUCCGUUGUUGUUUGGUGGUUUUGGUAUUAUGCCUUGCAUUCGCAUAAAUUAAAUAAAAAUCGUGUCUACUUGGUGUUUGGACUGUUUGGAAAAUCGUACCUAGAAAAUAUAAUGUUGAGCUCCUUGGUUAGCUUAAUCGCAAGCUGUAUAAUUCUUUCUAUUAAAGAUUUUAUUCCAUAAUAACACGACCAAUCCGUCUUCGUAACUAGAUCGCACUCACUGUAGUACCAUUAAAAAGAC